UAUAUAUAGAGCUACUAUACUCUUAUGAGUAUAGAGCCCUUCGUCCUUAAAAGUUAUUUUUUAUGAUGGAACUUCCGAAUCGACGAUUGCGUUAAAUAUGAUCUAAAGUAUUUAAAAUUUCUAAAAAGUAAAUUUCAUAAUUUUGCGAAACUAUAAUAAAGUCAAUCAAGCGGGCAUAAAAUGAACGGUCAAAAUCCAACGACAUUCUAAAAAUAGAUGAUCGGAAUCUUCAAUUUAAGAUUGGAAUUAUUUAUCUUUAUAUAGAUAGUGAAAAGAAUUUUCUAUCAAAAAUUUCACUGAUUCUUUUACACCGUUAAACUAACAAGUAUUCAAUACCGGCCGUUAAAAAUUGUCAAUUUUGAAAUCUUUUUAUUGUAAUGUAAAUGAUGUCGAAAAAUUAUAAAAUUUAAUUUCUAAAAAUUUUAAAUAUUUUAGAUAACGUUUAACAGUAUAAAUCGUCGAUUCGGAAAUCCUAUCAUCAAAAAUAAUUUAUGAAUAUGAAAGCGAUCGUGCCGAUAAGAACAUAUAU
RNAcentral lists this long non-coding RNA (529 nucleotides) under Ananas comosus (pineapple). RNAcentral describes it as "long non-coding RNA (ACOM_LNC001313)". Lineage: Eukaryota; Viridiplantae; Streptophyta; Magnoliopsida; Poales; Bromeliaceae. The record is from RNAcentral.